GACGAACGCUGGCGGCGUGCCUAAAACAUGCAAGUCGAACGAAGGCUUCGGCCUUAGUGGCGCACGGGUGCGUAACGCGUGGGAAUCUGCCCCUCGGUUCGGAAUAACAGCGAGAAAUUGCUGCUAAUACCGGAUAAUGACGUAAGUCCAAAGAUUUAUCGCCGAGGGAUGAGCCCGCGUAGGAUUAGCUAGUUGGUGUGGUAAAAGCGCACCAAGGCGACGAUCCUUAGCUGGCUGAGAGGAUGAUCAGCCACACUGGGACUGAGACACGGCCCAGACUCCUACGGGAGGCAGCAGUGGGGAAUAUUGGACAAUGGGCGAAAGCCUGAUCCAGCAAUGCCGCGUGAGUGAUGAAGGCCUUA
Molecule: ribosomal RNA, 362 nt
Filed under: uncultured bacterium
Lineage: Bacteria
Description: bacterial SSU rRNA
Rfam family: Bacterial small subunit ribosomal RNA
Source: RNAcentral